RNAcentral lists this ribosomal RNA (253 nucleotides) under uncultured bacterium. RNAcentral's name for it is "partial 16S ribosomal RNA". It matches the Rfam family "Bacterial small subunit ribosomal RNA", at positions 524 to 776 of the family's 1533-position model. The record is from RNAcentral.
UACGAAGGGUGCAAGCGUUACUCGGAAUUACUGGGCGUAAAGCGUGCGUAGGUGGUUUGUUAAGUCUGAUGUGAAAUCCCCGGGCUUAACCUGGGAAUGGCAUUUGGGACUGCAAGGCUUGAGUGUGGCAGAGGAGACUGGAAUUCCUGGUGUAGCAGUGAAAUGCGUAGAUAUCAGGAGGAACACCGAUGGCGAAGGCAGGUCUCUGGGCUAACACUGACGCUCAUGCACGAAAGCGUGGGGAGCAAACAGG